Mizuhopecten yessoensis (Yesso scallop) is the source of this 4329-nucleotide long non-coding RNA. RefSeq lists it as uncharacterized. NCBI's taxonomy places the organism in Eukaryota, Metazoa, Mollusca, Bivalvia, Pectinida, Pectinidae. The record is from RefSeq and is a predicted model, not a curated record. The transcript is spliced from 4 exons.
GUACAACUAGAGAUUGGUGACCACAAAAGGGGAGAGUCGGGUGAGAGUCAUCAGGUAGGUAACCAAUUAGAGACUGGUGACCACACAUGGGGAGAGUCAGGUGGGAUAGGGUGAUCAGGUAGGUGUACAACUAGAGAGUGACAACCAUAUAAGGGGAAAUUUAAGUGGGACAGAGUCAUCAGGUAGGUAACCAACUAGAGACUGGUGACCACAUAAGGGGGGAGUCUGGUGGGAUAGGGUCAUCAGGUAGGUAACCAACUAUAGACUGGCGACCACAUAAGGGGUGAUUCGGUGGGAUAGGGUCAUCUGGUAGGUAACCAACUAGUGACUGGUGAUCACAUAAGGGGGGAGUCGGGGGGGAUAGGGUCAUCAGGUAGGUAACCAACUAUAGACUGGCGCCCACAUAAGGGGUGAUUCGGUGGGAUAGGGUCAUCAGGGAGGUAACCAACUAGAGACUGGUGAUCACAUAAGGGGUGAUUCGGUGGGAUAGGGUCAUCAGGGAGGUAACCAACUAGAGACUGGUGAUCACAUAAGGGGUGAUUCGGUGGGAUAGGGUCAUCAGGCAGGUAACCAACUAGAGACUGGCGACCACAUAAGGGGGGAGUCGGCUGAGAUAGCGUCAUCAGGCAGGUAACCAACUAGAGACUGGCGACCACAUAAGGGGAGAGUCUGGUGGGAUAGGGUCAUCAGGCAGGUAACCAACUAGAGACUGGCGACCACAUAAGGGGGGAGUCGGCUGAGAUAGGGUCAUCAGGCAGGUAACCAACUAGAGACUGGCGACCACAUAAGGGGAGUUUAGGGUGGGACACAGUCAUCAGUUAGGUCAGGGCUUUUUCUAGGGUCUCUCAGGGGCCAAUAUACGGCCCCAUUCCCAAUGAGAUUUAGGCUUCAUUUUUCCCAAUUUCAAGAUUUUUUUCCAAAGUCUGGUGAUAUUACACAUUUGGACCUAAAAACAUGUUUUAUGACCAAAAUAAAAAUUUCAGAACAAAAAAUACAAUGUACACGUUAUCGUUGGUUGUUGAUGGACGACAGGAAAAAUGUACUCUUUUGGUAUGAAAACACAAAGCGUCUUCUUGAUCUACAUACACAAAGUCACCGGAGAGUUUGAAAGUAGAGUAUUUCAGUAAGCGCCUUUACCAAGCAUCUAAUUGGCCUUGUGUUGUUGAUCAGUUGAUGCGUUCGAUAAUGUUUGAAGCUGUUGGUCAUGUGCUCCCAUAAUGCCAAGUAUUAUGUGAAAUCAAUAAGAAAAAGCGAUGCAAGCCAAUGCAGAAAACGCUUUCUUCAUAAAGUCGGGUACUUUAGAUCCUGUGGAAUCGGAACCGGAUGUUGCAGUUCAAAAUGACCCGCGUCAGACGGCAGGCCCAUCAGGUGCUGACAAUCCCUCAGGCCCCAAAUCUCCUGAACGGACACCUAGUUAUGAUCCUGCUAGCGCAUGUGAAUCAAGUGAUUCAGAUGAUGGUGAGUCGUUGUCGGAUUGCAUAAAAGUCGACAGACGGACUUUUGAUUCCAAUCGGUAUGAGUUUAAUCACCAAUGGCUAUACUGGAGUGCUUAUAUGAAUGGAUAUGGUGAGUCGUUGUCGGAUUGCAUAAAAGUUGACAGGCAGACUUUUGAUUCCAAUCGGUAUGUGUUUAAUCACCAAUGGCUAUACUGGAGUGCUUAUAAAAAUGGAUAAAUUUGCAAAUUUUGUGUGAUGUUUUCUACAGAUAGCCCGAAAUGGAUACUGGAGUCCAACUCGGAAGUCACCCAACAAGGAAGCUUGUUAAACACGAGUCAAGUGAAAGUCACAAGAAAGCUUGUGAGAAAUUUGCAGAAUGUCACUCUAAAGUAAUCAAACCUAUCAGUAAUUGAGCAGCUUGUGUCGAAAGACAGUAAAGAGAGAGAAAUAUUAAAAAAAGUGUUCAGAACUGCGUAUUUUAUUGCAAGAAAGCGAUGGGCCGAAACAAAUUUUGAGGAUUUUGCUAAAUUUGUCGCUUCCCUUGGUGUUGAGGACAAACAGCAUCAUCCUCAAUUUGCACCCACAAAUGCAACAUACCUAUCUGAUACCUCAGUUGUAGAGUUUAUUGACAUAAUUGGUGAAUAUAUCGAAAACCAGGGACUGUUGUCAAUUAGAAAUGCCGACUACUACACAAUACUUGCUGAUGAACAAAACAGGGAACAACUCAGCAUUUUUGGAAAAUGGAUUUGUAGGGAAGGUCAAACUAUACCACCAGUUGAUCAUGUCCUAGGAUUAAUUAAUGUUGGAAAAACAGACAGCGAGUCUUUAUUACAGGCCAUACAGCAGUUUCUUUUAGCCAAGAACUUGGAUGUGUUGAGGUGCAGAUUUGUUGGCUUUGACGGCACAAACACUAUGAGUGGUGAAACCUCAGGUUUACAAAGAAGAAUGAGGAAUCUUUCUCCAAUGUUGUUGUACAUGAAUUGCCGAAGCCAUCGCUUGGCGUUAUGUCUGAAACAUUUAAUGAAAAUGUAUCCAGUCUUGGUUGAAACAUCUUCGCUAGCCAAGUGUUCGCUUCGUAUACACUCCACUUACCCUUGGCGGAUAUAGCUGUGUUUUCAUAAUUCCCUCCACUGCCACCUAGCGGAUAUACAGAGUUAUCGUUCUUCUCCCAAUAAACUUUUAACCAAUCAGAAUGACCGUUACAUACACAAGCCAUCGGCAUGUUGACAAAAGCAUGUGUAUGUGGAGACGGAGUAUAAAUGACAGAGCAAUAUAGAAACAAUCCAAAGGCAGCACUCAUAUUUUCCCAGGUCAUCAUUUACAUGUGGCACGAGGUCAAGGAUUUCCACCAACUGAUUUAAAACUCCAGAAGUUUCCCCAAAGAUCGUGCGUCUACUUUUUGGGAGCAAAAUACUCUGACAUAAACGACAACGUGCUUCCGUACAGGGCGUCGCCAUUACUGUUUUCCAUCGUCAACAGCGCUAUAGUUAAGACGCAAUUUCAUUGGAUGCGAGCGAUUGGCACCGCACGAAAAUUUGAAGGCUCAGUAAACACGUCUAUAUCCGCCAAGGGUAAGUGGAUUGUAUACGAAGCGAACACUUGGCUAGCGAAGAGGUGGUUGAAACUGAUGAGGUACUUUUGGCGAUAUGGAAACUUUUUCAUUUUUCCCCAAGGAGGUUUACUGUCUUUAAACAUGUCCAAGAAGUGUAUGGAUGUCAGCCAUUGAAUGUGAUCAGGGCUGCAACAAGGUGCUUGUUUCGUGGCCGGGCAUGUGUCUGCUUCAUAGACAGAUAUGAAGCAAUACUCGAUACGCUCGACACCUUUUACCAAGUACGGAAGGAGCCAGAGGUAUUUGUGCUUCGUGCUAGUAUCACAAACAGAGGUGUGGUUGCUAUGAUUCUGUUAUUGUCUUAUGCCUUAAUACUUGCAAGGUCCAAAGAUUUGCUUUGUGGACAUUUAGAGUAAAGUGAAAGCAACCACCAAUGAACUUGAAACCCUGAUUGGUAUUCUUCAGGCCCCUGGUUACCACAACCUGGUAUUCUUCAGGCCCCUGGUUACCAGAACCUGGACAUAUAUUUCGCCAAAGUUGACAGCCUGUUUCAGGAAAUAGUUGACGGAACGGAUCUCCAAAUGAGAAGGCGCAGAGACUUCCAACGCCACAAUAUAUCACCAGCUGUGUGUUUGGAAACCGUUGGUGUCCCUCUUAUCAAUAGCCGAAUUGGUGAGUUGACUGGCGCCUUUGUCGGUCAUCCUGUAUUCGCAGCAUUUAAAGCUCUGGAUCCGAGAUGCCUACCACAGCAGUUAGAUGCUCUUCCAGACUAUGGACAGAUAUUCAGACCCUUGGGAAUCACUAUGCAACCCCAAAGGAAAACCAUAUCAAAGGCCAUGUAACAAGGUGUGGGCCAGACAUUGACCCUUUGGAUGUGCUGAAAACAGAACACACGGGUUCCAAACACCAGAUGUAUAUGCUGAGUUUACAGGUCUCGGCAUGCAGCAGACCAUUCCAACUUGUGACUUCAGGCAGACUGGAGAGUGCCUUACUCCCCAAGACCUCCUUUUAUCCCCCGGGAGGAAUGAUGUUAUGGGGAACUGUUUUCCAAGAGCAUCCUCCCUACUAGAACUGAUGAACAUUGUACUAACAUCAACAGCCUCUGUGGAAAGAGGCUUCAGUAUGAUGAAAGGACUGUGUACUCCUAUUCAGAGCUGUUUAGCACAGGGACAUUUGUCCAGUCUGAUGCUAAUUUGUGUUGAGGGUCCUUCUGACUUGACUGAUGAGGCCCUAGACUCUCUGGUCAAUAAGUUCAGGAACAAAAAAUCUAGAAUCCUGCCUUUGUAUUCAAAUAUAGGAAAUAAAGAAAAUUUGAAUGAAAAUUUUGUCAAUAUAUUGUCUUUU